UAGGGAAUCUUCCACAAUGGACGAAAGUCUGAUGGAGCAACGCCGCGUGAGUGAAGAAGGGUUUCGGCUCGUAAAACUCUGUUGUUAAAGAAGAACAUAUCUGAGAGUAACUGCUCAGGUAUUGACGGUAUUUAACCAGAAAGCCACGGCUAACUACGUGCUAG
This 164-nucleotide ribosomal RNA is filed under the name uncultured bacterium. Its description in RNAcentral is "partial 16S ribosomal RNA". It matches the Rfam family "Bacterial small subunit ribosomal RNA", at positions 355 to 511 of the family's 1533-position model. The record is from RNAcentral.